Molecule: non-coding RNA, 5210 nt
Organism: Taeniopygia guttata (zebra finch)
Lineage: Eukaryota; Metazoa; Chordata; Aves; Passeriformes; Estrildidae
Source: RefSeq, a predicted model, not a curated record
GGCGGAACCUCCCCGGGCCCCGCCUCGCCGGCCCCGGCCCCGCCCGGGCUGUCAGAGCCGGCCUGUCCCGGGCAGGCUCGGGCGACCGCGGGAUGCGGCGCUGAGCGCGCUCCGCUCGCCUUCUCCGUCCGUCUGUCUGUCCGUCCAUCGCUCUCCCCGCCCGGGCUCCCGCACGCCGAGAUUCCCUCCCGCAGCCCAUGAUGUGCCUGGAAAGCGACGGCUCCUCCGGCAGCAGCCCGGUCUGCGGCGGGCGGCUCCGAGCUGGCGACGAGGAGGAGGAGGAGGACGGCGAGCGGGGCUGCUGCGGCCGGGGUGCCGAGGGCGAGGUGCAGACCCUGUCGGGCAGGAUGAACCCCCCGGCGGCCGGCAAGCACCCUGACCGCCCCGCCGCCCUCCGCAAGGCGCCGACCCUCGGCCGGGCCCGGGUAGCGGCCGCCGGCAUCCUCAGUGUGGGCAACGUGCUCAACUACCUGGACCGGUACACCGUGGCAGGUGUGUUACUAGACAUCCAGCAGCACUUUGGAGUCAAAGACAGUGGGGCUGGCUUGCUGCAGACAGUUUUUAUCUGUAGUUUCAUGGUCGCGGCGCCGAUCUUUGGUUACCUUGGUGACCGGUUCAACAGAAAGAUCAUUCUCAGCUGUGGGAUCUUCUUUUGGUCAGCUGUCACUUUUUCAAGCUCCUUCAUCACUGAACAGGUGUGCUGGCUUACAAAUGGACAAGGGCUUCUGCUCCACCAGGCUGGGAGACCACGAGUACCUGAUAAGCAGCCAGAGCAGGCUGUGGUAAUGUGGGUUGGCUGGGAGACACCAGAGCUGCACAUGCUGGAAAGCUGGGAAAUGGAAAAGCAAAGCAUUGACAAGUAUUUCUGGCUGCUUGUGCUCUCACGGGGUUUGGUUGGCAUCGGUGAAGCGAGUUAUUCUACUAUUGCACCAACCAUCAUUGGAGACCUGUUCACCAAAAACACGAGGACCCUGAUGCUGUCUGUUUUCUACUUUGCAAUUCCUCUGGGCAGUGGCUUGGGAUACAUCACCGGGUCCAGCGUGAAGCAGGUUGCUGGAGACUGGCACUGGGCACUGCGGGUAUCUCCACUCCUAGGAAUGAUAACAGGGACACUCAUCUUGAUAUUUGUGCCUGCUGCUAAAAGAGGAAAUGCUGAGCAACUUGGGGGGCAGCUGAAGGCUCGGACUUCAUGGCUGAGAGACAUGAAAGCAUUGAUUAGAAACCGCAGCUAUGUGUUCUCAUCCUUGGCCACCUCAGCUGUCUCCUUUGCCACGGGGGCACUUGGUAUGUGGAUCCCUCUGUAUCUUCACAGAGCACAGGUCGUGCAGAAGACAGCAGAGACCUGCAGCUCCCAGCCCUGUGGCACCAAAGAUAGCUUGAUCUUCGGAGCAAUCACGUGCUUCACUGGCUUCCUGGGUGUAAUCACAGGGGCAGGAGCCACCAAAUGGUGCCGGUCCAAGACGCAGCGAGCUGAUCCUCUUGUCUGUGCUGUUGGAAUGCUGGGAUCAGCCAUCUUCAUCUGUCUGAUCUUCGUGGCAGCCAAGAGCAGCAUUGUGGGAGCCUAUAUUUGCAUUUUUAUCGGAGAAACUCUUCUAUUCUCAAACUGGGCUAUCACAGCAGACAUACUAAUGUACGUGGUCAUUCCAACUCGCCGUGCAACCGCAGUGGCCUUGCAGAGUUUCACUUCACACCUCCUGGGAGAUGCUGGCAGUCCUUAUCUCAUUGGAUUUAUCUCCGACCUGAUACGACAAAGCACAAAGGAGUCGCCGGUCUGGGAGUUCCUCAGCCUGGGUUACGCGCUCAUGCUCUGCCCGUUUGUCGUUGUCCUGGGAGGGAUGUUCUUCCUGGCCACAGCCCUCUUCUUCCUCAGUGACCGAGCUAAAGCUGAGCAACAUAAAGAAACCGAUUCGGAUCAUCUCACGGUUGGCAACUACAGUAAUUCGGAAGACGCUUCCACAUGACAUACAAACUCUGGGGGUGAAUCAGCUUGUGAUGCCACCAGCCUCUGUGAAAGUCUGAGACGCUGCCAGGGAAGGCAAGGACACGUGGACUCCUGCUCCCACCAUCCCAAUCUCAGUCUGAAGCCCUUCUGUGCUGGCUGCCAGUGGAUCCUUCAGCUCCAUAUCACAGAGGGGGUCUGUGCACCAAACCCAUCCCUGCAGCCUGCGGGGUCAGGCGCCAGGAGAUGAGCAGGGCAGCCGGGAACGUGGAACACGAGGACAUUCCCGGGGCCCUGAGCAUGGAAACCAACAACAUGGACCCAGGAAAAGCUGCCCAAGUGAGCAACUGUAGAUUGUGUAAAUGGUUUUAGUUGUAACCAGUGAAGUCCACACUGUUUGUAGGGCAGCUGGUGUCCUAUGGAAUGCUGCUGCUCUGCCAGCACUCCCACAGACUGCACUAGUUGAGGACUUGUUUUGUACAUCACCUUUUCUUUGACACUGAAGGCUUGAUUCAGAUUAUUAUUUUUUAUUUAAAUAUGUUAUAAGAUGCUUUAUCUCUGCUGGAGACAUUAGAUGAGAUAUAUAUAUAUAUAUAUAUAUACUUAGAUAAAGUUUUUAUUUAAACAUUUGAAAUCUGAAGCUGCCUGUGCAACCAUAGCAGACAUGAAUAACGUCCAUAGCUCUCCUCCUCUCAGUGCCCUGGUGCCAGGGCCUGCAAGGGCACCACAGGAAAAUUUCCAGUGGGUGACCUACCUGUCACUGAGCCUGAGCAGUGGGACAGAGGAGAGAGUUUCACUGCACUGGGUAUGCCGGUGUUUGUCACAGAAAGGCCCAGAGGAACGUUGGACAGAAAUCCCUACAGGCUCUAGACUUUUCCAUAUGCUAAAUUCAGCUUUCCUAGGAGGUUAAAAAAGGUUUAAAAGCCUGUGGGCUUUUAAAAUACCAAAAUCCACCUAGCUGAAUGGCUGCACCUUGGGCCUGGGAGUGCAAUACUGCUGUGCCAGUGACCUCGUGCUUUGUUUACAUGAUGCCAUAUCACUCAGACUGUCAAUGCUAAUUCUCCCUGCCAGGAUCCCAGAGCAGGCACUGACUCUGCCCUCAGAGCAGUGCUGGGUUCCUGCACACCCAGCCUGACCUGUCACUGGGGAGCACUUGUACCUUUAAAAGGUGCCUUUGAGGGCUUUCAGACAAGGCUGGUGCCUGAGCUGGGUUAGACUCAAAUGCAGGAGCAUGUCAUGGUGCCAUUCCACUGCGGUCUUGUUUCCUGGACCUGGCCUCCACAAGCCAAAUUUGGGCUGUGUCAGCUGGAUGGGGGAAGAAGGGGAGCACAGGUCCUGAAGAGGGCCAGGCUGCCCCAGGGAGGGCAGUGCCCCAGGGAGGGCAGUGCCCCAGGGAGGGCAGUGCCCCAGCAGCCCCCAUUCCCGUGUUCUGAGCCCCCUCUCACAGUCCAGAUCUCCCCUCCAGCUCAGCACAACCUGAGCAGGUGCCAGCACCUCAUUCCUGUGCUCUUGGCUCACAAGUGACUGCACGUGGGGUCCAAGGGGGACUAAAUCAGCUCAAGAAAUGUCAGACCAGGACUAGAUGUGAGUUAAGGCUGGAGCUGCUGUCCUGGCUGUGCCAUAGCAAGGUACUGUUAGCAAAUCUGGGUUUAUCUCCCAUUCCCUGCCAGGAUGUGCUGGGACCUACAGCACAGCACUGCAGCAGAAAUGGUUCUAAUUCCAGUUGCUCACCCCAUAGCAAGUCCCUGCCCAGGCUGGGGAUUCCUAUAAUCCCAUGAGCCUUUCCUCCUCCCCAGCCCUCACAGGACUCCUCUGCAAGGGUUCUGUCACCUGAAAUUCCUUAACAAUAGCUCUAAGACUUGCCUAAAGAACCAGAGCCAGAAGUGUUCCUCUAGUGCCUGAGCAAGCAGGUGCUAGAAAUAACAAAGCAAAGCAAAUCCCAACAAUGCUUCACUUCCUACCUCGUGCCACUAUUUACACUCGGAGGGGAAACAUGGCCUGUAAUCUGGGAGCCAAACAUUUGGCUUUAAAGGCACAUGAAUUUCUGAUUCCCAUUAAGAAAUUCCUUUUUAAGCUGUUUAAAAAAAAAAAACAAAAGCAACCCAACAAUCAGUCAUUUCAUCUCAGAGACCAAAGAAGAUUAACCACAUUUUCUAAAUUGCUUUUCUGAUAGGCUCUCUGUUGUAGCAUUUAUUGUCAACAAAAUGGCACAUUUCUGCUGAGGUUCAGAGAUUAGGAAUUCUCCUUAAACUCAGUUCUCAGGAGUCAACAAUGAAAAGGGAACUGAAGUGUUCUGUAGUGUCACUGGCAGUCCUUGUUUGUGACAGAAUCCAGGCCCAGUGCUCAGUGCUGGUUUUAUCCUUUGUGCACAUGGAGGAAGUGCUGUGGAUUCUGUUUAAACAAGGACAGAGGGAAGGGAGCAAACAAAGGAGUGAGAAACGAGUCCUACCUUCACCACAGGAUCCCUGAAUCCCUGCUGCCACAUGUUCCAGGCUAAGAGAGGGAGGCUCAGGCUUCUUCAGAUCCUUGCUGCAUUCAGCAGGGUCUGUGCAAGUGUCCAGAGGCACCAGGGAGGCUCCAGCUGCCCCUCAGUUAAUCACCAGGGUUUUCUUCUACUCCACUUCAUAAAGGGGAUUUUUUUAAAGCAUUAACUCCCCCCAGCUGCUCCUGCACUGGCAGUCAGGUGGUUUGUACACACUGUGGGAAAUGAGGCAAUGGGACCUGCCCAAAGAGGCAAGAGAAUGACCCAGCAGGCAGCAAGCUGCCACCCCAGGGGCUCCUGCUGCCACCCCAGGGGCUCCUGCUGCCACCCCAGGGUGCUCCUGCUGCCACCCCAGGGUGCUCCUGCUGCCACCCCGGGGGGCUCCUGCUGCCACCCCAGGGGCUCCUGCUGCCACCACUCCAGAGUGGCUCUGCGUGGCCCCAGGAGCCUCUCCCGACAGGGUGACUGAACCCUUUAAGUGUCAGGCUGUGCUCUGGGAAGCAGAGUCCUUCCAAGCUCCACCCCAAAUGUUGUUCUCUUCUCCAUUGGCUUUAUUGUCUGGUAAACCAGCACUUACAAUCACUUUUACUACGUGAUGUACGGGAGUAUUAGUGUAUUUUCUUGUUAUACAAGGGAGGAGUAUAAAAUAGUUUUCUGAUUUCUUUCAGAAGCAAAUGACUAUUUUAUUUUUUAAGAGCAAUUGAUUGUGAAUCUCAGAGUAUAUAAAAAAAAAGAUAAGCCAAAUAUAUACCUUUAUGUAAAUUAAGAAAUAAAAGUAUUUAAAAUGUA